This 492-nucleotide ribosomal RNA is filed under the name uncultured bacterium. RNAcentral describes it as "bacterial SSU rRNA". It matches the Rfam family "Bacterial small subunit ribosomal RNA", at positions 903 to 1397 of the family's 1533-position model. The record is from RNAcentral.
AAAGGAAUAGACGGGGACCCGCACAAGCGGUGGAGCAUGUGGUUUAAUUCGAAGCAACGCGAAGAACCUUACCAGGCCUUGACAUCCCAAGGAAAGCUUCUUAACCGGAGCCCCUCUUCGGAGUCUUGGAGACAGGUGGUGCAUGGUUGUCGUCAGCUCGUGUCGUGAGAUGUUGGGUCAAGUCCCGCAACGAGCGCAACCCUUGUCCGUAGUAGCCAGCAGUAAGAUGGGAACUCUACGGAGACUGCCGGGGAUAACCCGGAGGAAGGUGGGGAUGACGUCAAAUCAUCAUGCCCCUUACGGUCUGGGCGACACACGUGCUACAAUGGCGUAACAAAGGGAAGCGAGCCCGCGAGGGGGAGCAAACCCCAAAAAUAGCGUCCCAGUUCGGACUGUAGUCUGCAACCCGACUACACGAAGCCGGAAUCGCUAGUAAUCGCGGAUCAGAAUGCCGCGGUGAAUACGUUCCCGGGUCUUGUACACACCGCCCGU